GCAAAGGAAGGAUCUAGCUAAGUUCAUUUGACAAAGUCACUAAAGAUAUGCUUGUCAUCUCUACGCUGUGAGGCAAGACUGAAGAGCCAAUUGUACCAAGAGAAAAGAAAUGCUUGUGCCAGGCAAAACAUCUGUCAGAUGUGCAUUUCUAUAGCAUCAUCUUGUCUGUUAGAUGAUCGCACCCCCUCUGCAAUAAUUCAAUUCAGAAUCCACCAGCACUACACUUCUGCGCCACUUAAUAAGGUCUCAUUUUUGUCAUG
RNAcentral lists this unclassified non-coding RNA (260 nucleotides) under Hevea brasiliensis (rubber tree). Lineage: Eukaryota; Viridiplantae; Streptophyta; Magnoliopsida; Malpighiales; Euphorbiaceae. The record is from RNAcentral.